RNAcentral lists this ribosomal RNA (811 nucleotides) under uncultured Campylobacter sp. RNAcentral's name for it is "bacterial SSU rRNA". It matches the Rfam family "Bacterial small subunit ribosomal RNA", at positions 28 to 862 of the family's 1533-position model. Lineage: Bacteria; Pseudomonadati; Campylobacterota; Epsilonproteobacteria; Campylobacterales; Campylobacteraceae. The record is from RNAcentral.
AGUGAACGCUGGCGGCGUGCCUAAUACAUGCAAGUCGAACGGACGAGUAAGAGCUUGCUCUUAUGAGUUAGUGGCGCACGGGUGAGUAAUGUAUAGCUAAUCUGCCCUACACUAGAGGACAACAGUUGGAAACGACUGCUAAUACUCUAUACUCCUCUCUAGCAUAAGUUAGAUAGGGAAAGUUUUUCGGUGUAGGAUGAGGCUAUAUUGUAUCAGCUAGUUGGUGAGGUAAUGGCUCACCAAGGCUAUGACGCAUAACUGGUCUGAGAGGAUGAUCAGUCACACUGGAACUGAGACACGGUCCAGACUCCUACGGGAGGCAGCAGUAGGGAAUAUUGCUCAAUGGGGGAAACCCUGAAGCAGCAACGCCGCGUGGAGGAUGACACUUUUCGGAGCGUAAACUCCUUUUGUUAGGGAAGAACAAUGACGGUACCUAACGAAUAAGCACCGGCUAACUCCGUGCCAGCAGCCGCGGUAAUACGGAGGGUGCAAGCGUUACUCGGAAUCACUGGGCGUAAAGGACGCGUAGGCGGAUUAUCAAGUCUCUUGUGAAAUCCUAUGGCUUAACCAUAGAACUGCUUGGGAAACUGAUAAUCUAGAGUGAGGGAGAGGCAGAUGGAAUUGGUGGUGUAGGGGUAAAAUCCGUAGAGAUCACCAGGAAUACCCAUUGCGAAGGCGAUCUGCUGGAACUCAACUGACGCUAAUGCGUGAAAGCGUGGGGAGCAAACAGGAUUGAGAUACCCUGGUAGUCCAAGGGCGAAUUCCACAGUGGAGAUCAGGCUUCAUCGAUACGGUCGACCUCAAAAGGUUU